This 253-nucleotide ribosomal RNA is filed under the name uncultured bacterium. RNAcentral describes it as "partial 16S ribosomal RNA". It matches the Rfam family "Bacterial small subunit ribosomal RNA", at positions 524 to 776 of the family's 1533-position model. The record is from RNAcentral.
UACGUAGGGUGCAAGCGUUGUCCGGAAUUAUUGGGCGUAAAGAGCUCGUAGGCGGUUUGUCGCGUCUGCUGUGAAAACUCGGGGCUUAACUCCGGGCCUGCAGUGGGUACGGGCAGACUAGAGUGCGGUAGGGGAGACUGGAAUUCCUGGUGUAGCGGUGAAAUGCGCAGAUAUCAGGAGGAACACCGAUGGCGAAGGCGGCUCUCUGGUACGUGACUGACGCUGAGACGCGAAAGCGUGGGGAGCGAACAGG